ACAGCACGUAGCUCCUCCUUUGCCUCCCUCUCCCCGCAGUGUGCUGCUGUUUUGGAAGGGAGGAAGGGAAGUUGGAAAAGGAGAGGGGGGACUAGUUGCAACAUGGAGGUGCUACUUAUGUGUUAUCUGUUAACCAUUAAACCAAUGUCAUUAGAGGAGUUUAAACAGCUAACAUUGUAUUCAGUGCCCAGAUCCCAUUGUUUAUAAACCAUGAUGCAUCAGUCCUCCUCAGCCACUGCUUUCCAGAUGUCAUCAUCCUAUUGUUCAUGACGUGAAGAUGCAUCUGACUGUAAACAGGGGCUGAGAUUUUAAUUAUUUUUUCCUCCAUGAAAGAUUUCUAAAUAAGCAUCAACUUUGGAGAGCCAAUGAAAACAUGAUUGUACAGGCUUUUACCACAUGUCCUAUUCUCCAUUGCAAGAAUGGAUUGCCCAGCUCUGAAACCCCCGCCUCUCCAGGCCUUCGAGUCCUGUGCGAUGCCUCUGAGUGGAGUACCCAGAAUGUGGGGGGAACAAUGGAGAUACAUUGAUUUGCACCAGCUUUCUAUCAUUUACUUCAUUUUGCUUUUUACAAAUAUUAUCUCUUUGAAAUGUA
Alligator mississippiensis (American alligator) is the source of this 591-nucleotide long non-coding RNA. RefSeq lists it as uncharacterized. Lineage: Eukaryota; Metazoa; Chordata; Crocodylia; Alligatoridae. The record is from RefSeq and is a predicted model, not a curated record. The transcript is spliced from 3 exons.